This 209-nucleotide ribosomal RNA is filed under the name uncultured bacterium. Its description in RNAcentral is "partial 16S ribosomal RNA". It matches the Rfam family "Bacterial small subunit ribosomal RNA", at positions 307 to 526 of the family's 1533-position model. The record is from RNAcentral.
GCCUCCCUCGCCGCCAUCAGACUCCUACGGGAGGCGAGCAGUGGGAAUCGUUAGCUACAAUGGGGGAAACCCUGGAUGCAGCGGCGCCGCGUGAGCGAUGGAAGCCCUUACGGGGUCGUUAAAGGCUCUUUACGUUCGGGGAACGAGUAAUGACGGUACCGGAGAACGGCAGCUGCCGGCUAACUACGUGCCAGCAGCCGCGGUAAUUC